RNAcentral lists this long non-coding RNA (5073 nucleotides) under Salmo salar (Atlantic salmon). RNAcentral describes it as "lncRNA (ENSSSAG00000105727.1)". Lineage: Eukaryota; Metazoa; Chordata; Actinopteri; Salmoniformes; Salmonidae. The record is from RNAcentral.
UAGGCUACACAGUCAGUAUUUUUAUUUGAUUAUUAUUAGCUAUUCAUACAUGCCUACAGUUUAUUGCAUACAAUACAAAGACGGUUCAUCUCUUUAUCUAGAAACCCAAAUUCUUUACAAGCAGAUCUGACCAGAAUUCUAUACAACAGUUUUUAUUUAAAACACACAUAAUGUUACUUAUACAAAUCACAACGAUAGAGAUACAGAGUUAAAGUGACAUGGUUUGAGUUCAAUUGACUUUGGCUACAUCUCAUAUUCUUAUAUGCUAGUGCACUAAAUGGAGAAUAGGGUAUUAUUUGCGACUGAGCCUUAGAAUGUGUAUAUUUCCCAUGUCGGUAUCAAUAGUUCCGAUACAUUCUAGUUCAGAAUGUAAAUGAGAACGUUAUUGUCAUGGAACGUUUGAUGCUGAAAUGGAUUUAACAGAACUCUGUUCAUCUAUCCACCUCAUUGUCGAACGUUGCUAUGGGCACGGCCAAACAACGGAAGUGAAGGAUUCGACUUCUGCUUUACUUACCACUGCAACGCGCUGGUGGCAAUCUUGCCAGAGUAAAUUAUUGGAAAGAGACAAUUUAUAGAGUAUAACAGUCAAGUAUAAGUGUAAUUGAGUACGUGUAAUUGUAUAUGUAUUUCAUUCAAGUAGGCUAGUUCUGUUGUGAUAAUACUGUUAGUUGUGUUGUGUCAGAGUUUAGGCCCGGGCCAUCCACCCAAUAACUAUAACGAUAACUAUAAACUAUAGGCUGCACAAUUAUAAAACGUCGCUGAGCAUCCAUACUAGAGGAAAGUGUAUCGUUUAUCGUUCUACAGUCCUACACCUGUCAAUCAACUGAUCAAACCAAUCUACUGCACGCUUCCUAUCAAUAAGGUGGUAACACAAGACCAUUCAUGAGGUCUCUAACACACAGAAUCUGGUUCAGACCAUUCAUGAGGUCUCUAACACACAGAAUCUGGUUCAGACCAUUCCUGAGGUCUCUAACACACAGAAUCUGGUUCAGACCAUUCAUGAGGUCUCUAACACACAGAAUCUGGUUCAGACCAUUCAUGAGGUCUCUAACACACAGAUACCAGUUCAGACCAUUCAUGAGGUCUCUAAGACACAGAAUCUGGUUCAGACCAUUCAUGAGGUCUCUAACACACAGAAUCUGGUUCAGACCAUUCAUGAGGUCUCUAACACACAGAAUCUGGUUCAGACCAUUCAUGAGGUCUCUAACACACAGAAUCUGGUUCAGACCAUUCAUGAGGUCUCUAACACACAGAUACUGGUUCAGACCAUUCAUGAGGUCUCUAACACACAGAUACUGGUUCAGACCAUUCAUGAGGUCUCUAACACACAGAAUCUGGUUCAGACCAUUCGGUGCUUUCAGGGUGUGUUCAUUGUCAUAGUGACAACUGCAAAUUAUAAUAUGUGAAUCAAGGCCUAAUGAAAAGCAAUAUAGUACCUCAAAUUUAAAUGUAGCAAUUCAACAACAAACACUGUUUAGCCUGCACAUAUUUUACAGCAUGUAUUUGCCCUCUUGCUCAAGUGGGUUGCAAGUGAUUUUUUGAGGUCUUCUUUUUUACAGUUCUCAUCUCUGUAUGUCCUCUGAAACUAUUUGCAAUGUAUCAGUGCAACAAUAUUAUCAUAACCGGCCAAAAGUGAUCACACGAUUUCCUCAACUUUCCCCAACAUGCGUUUUCUAUGCUGUAGGCCUGUUUUACAUUCGGCAAUUAGCAAGAGCAAGCCUGCUUCUUUCCCAUCGAACAGACUAUUAGGCCUAGUAUAAAAAAGGAUCAAACUACAUGUGCUAUAGCUGUUGUAAGUAAGAAGGUAAAUAUUAGCUAGAUAUUAGGCCAUAAAAUUAUUAUACCUGAUAUUAUUGUUAUCAAGUGAGUACACAAUUAUUGUCUAUAUGCUGUAAACUGCAGUGAUGUAGGCUAAUUAGAAUAACCGCUCACACAUCCUGUUUUGUUUCAUACCGAAAUAACUGCAUACAGUAGCGUACCAGCCUAGGCCUGAGUAUGCAGCCAUUUGGAUCAGUCUGGGUCUAUUCUUGACAGUUUAGAAGGUCCAGAAAGGUACAUUAUUAGGUCACUCAUACGGUGUAGGCCUAUUUAGUCAGGAUGUAGUCCGCUGGUUAACAGGAUAGGACAAUACGGGCUCCUCCUUUCCAACUCCCUGCCCGUUCUUAACGCUGUAGCCUAUUUCACAUCCAGCAAGCAGGCCGCAAGCGUGCAUCUCUCCUCCAAUAGGAUAUUAGUAGGCUAAAGAAAAUAAGUCGAAAUACCUGUCAAAUAAGUUUUUGUAGACUGGCUUUUCCUUGGACUCCACAAUAUUUAAAAGGAAUAGCCGUGGCAGCGGAGAGGAUAAGUGCGUAAUUGCUCAUCAGAGCAAUGAAGACAGACAGACAGGCUGGGGAUGUACUGUGACCUACAGCCUAAGUUAGAAGCUUAUGCAUAUCAGACCAUAAUUCAUGAGCUCAAUGUUAGGCAUAAUACUGCAGUCAAUUUAUCCAGUCAAUUUACACAGUGAAAGAAAAAGUGCUUUUCAGAUAGUGAAAUCAUAGUUAGCGCUCCCGAUUCUGCGCUGAGUGCGGUCCCUCCAAGUCCGUGGGUACAUUGUUUUUUAGGGACAAGAAAUGUACCCUACCUAGGCUACAACAACACAAUGCAAUGAAGUAUGUUAUUAUUGUUUUCAAGUGCGUAGAAAACUCUAGUCUGGGCCAUAAACUGCAGUGAAUACCCUAUGUCAUUUGAAUAACCGCUCAAAAGCCUGGCUUUUAAAAUACAUAUUAAUUUGGAAAUAAAUGAAACUAACAUGCCUGACUGGACAACCAUUUGGAUCUGUUAUGUUUUUGUUAUGAGCAGUUCAGCCUACAAGGUCCAGGCACAUCAGCAGGACAAUAACACACGGUGUAUUUUGUCAUGAUUUCUCCGCUAACAGAAACAUGCUAAUGCAGGAGUUCCUAGUGGCGCGCAUAUGAAUUAUGAUAAUGCGCAAGCGCGGAGAAACAUGUAUCCAUAGUUUCCGCGUUUGGCGUCAUAUUUUAAAAGCGUUCGAAAAUGAGGUGGAUAACUCCCUAUACAAACAUUUAGAUAAUCAAUUUCACAUUCACAGCUGUUCUUCUACUGUACACUGAAGUUUCUCUUAGAUACAGAUCUAGGAUCAGCUUACCCAUCCUCCAAUCGUAACCUUAACUAUUAGCGGGAAAACUUAACUUAACUUAACUAGCGGGAAAACCACAAAACUGCUCUUAGAUCAUUGUCUAGGAUUCAACUUCAUCCCCAAGUCGAGCUGUAUGUAUACUUAGUUUAGAUGUGCUAUUUAAUGGUGCAGUGUCCCUUUUUAUUUGCUAUCCGUGGCACAUUGAAACAACGCAAAAGAAAGUAUUUUCAGUGUCUGUCUUUCUCCAUGCCUUUCUUCGUUAGUUUAAAACCCAUACUUUAAAAAAAAUGUUAGGACUAUAUCCUCUGCAAGUGUGGUCUCAAUAUCAUUUUUCCCUGGGGGCCAUAUUACUUAAAUCGGCUCAGGGGCCACUUUUGGAUCAUGGGCCUGUAGUUUAAGACCCCUGAUCUACAAGCACUGAGCAGAUACAGUAAGCAUUGUGAAUAACGUUAGAUGGAGGAACUUAGGCAUCUGUGCAGAUGUACAAAGCUACUUCAUAUAGUACACCACAAGCAGAGGCUUCAGUACAGAAUAAAACUUGUCUAAUAUUGUGAUUGAUGACUACAUUUCCCACAAUUCAUCUUGCGCUGAAAACUUGCCCUUGAAAAUAAGUCAACCCACUACAUCAUACUCAAAUCUCACUGACCCUCAUACAGAGUAGCUGUUGCUUAUGUAAAACUAUGUCGUGUUUCAUUUGAUAUGUUUAUAUUUAUAUAUAUAUAUAGUGUUUUUUAUUAUUCUCUUAAGACAUACAUUUUAAAACUUGAGGUGGUGAAACUGUAAAGUUGGGUUUUCUUUGGUUACCAGGUUGUUUUUCUUGUUGUUGUUUACAAGUGGAGAAAAGGUGGGAUCCUACACCUUUGUUGUGUGUGUGCGUGUGUUUGUGUGCGAUCCUACGCAGUUUCACACGUGGCAUUUCAGGGACGCAUCAUCCCACCGCCUCCCCAACACCCCCGCGCUCUGUGGUAAGAAUCUACCGGAAUGGCGUCUGUUUGUGUUCUAGAUUUAGCAUUGUCCAGGGCAACCAGCUGAACCUUCCCAUAAUUGGAGUUGGUUGCUAUGGGUAUAUAUUUCCAUCUUUUUAGUCACAGUGUGCAUCCCAAACGGCACCCUAUCCUCUAUAUAGUGCACUACUUUAGACCAGAGCUCUAUGGGCCCAGGUCAAAAGUAGUGCACUACGUAGUGAACAGGGUGCCAUGUUGGACGUGGCCUGUAACUUUUCUCAGAUGUACUCCUGUCUAGGUUAUGUAUGAGCCACGUUAAAUAAAUAAUUGAGGGAAUAACUUAAUAAAAACGUGACACCCACCUUGACACAAGCUGACUUGUGCUCCUCAUCCUCAACCAACCCCAUUUAGUUUACCCCAGCAAGGUCAUAGCCAUGUCUUGUAGUGUUGUACUGCUCACUGCUAAGUACUGUAAUACUGAAGCAUAACAUUAAUGAUUGAUUGGUUGAUUGAUUGAGUGGCUAACUAAGUGAUUGGGGGGGAGGGAGGGGGGGGGGGGUGUAUUCUAUAGCCUCAUUCCUCUCCCCCUUCAGUAUCCAUAGAUCUGACCGAAGCUAAAACAUCAUCAUACUGCCUAUCCACCUACCAAGUCAUUUCAGAUCUGUGAAUACAGGAAGAAAGAUAGAAAACAUUUGAGACACAAUUCUGUUGAGUGAUAUUGAGUCAGAAUUUUGGGGGGUGCUAAAAUCACUCCAUACACUCCCAUCCUUCCAGACCAAACUAGACUCCGUUUCCUCAAAAGCCUUAUCCCUUGACCCAUGACCCCUCUCAGUCGGACCACUCCCCGUUGUCCUCCCCGCCGGAGUCAGACUCUGAUUCGCUGUACUCGACGGCGAUGCGACGUGAGAGAAUGGUGGCCACGUCGUUUCCUACGGGCUCUCUCUUCGCUUCCUGCUCUCUCUGCUCCUGUACCUUCCUCAAUUGGAUACC